UGAUGGUUUUACCGUUCCACAGAUUAUUGAAAUGGAGCUGGAUAACCAGGAGCAGUUGUUGUUACAGGACCCGCCUGUGACUUACAUCCAGCAGUUUGCAGAUGCAGCAGCCAGUCUCACCUCUCCAGAUUCCGAGAAGUGGAACUCUGUGUUCCCCAAGCCUGGGACUUUGGUGCAGUGCUUGAGGCUACCAAAGUUUGCAGAGGAGGAGACUCUUUGUAUAGACUCUAUAACUCCGUGUGCUGACGGAGUCCAUUUGUUGGUCGGACUGCGGACAUGCUCUGUGGAAUCAUUGAGUGCAAUAAAUCAAGUUGAGGCCUUGAAUAAUUUAAAUAAAUUAAACUCUGCACUAUGUAAUAGACGUAAAGGUGAUCUGGAAUCCAAUCUUGCUGUAGUGAAUGG
This 402-nucleotide long non-coding RNA is filed under the name Rattus norvegicus (Norway rat). RNAcentral describes it as "long non-coding RNA NONRATT024825". The record is from RNAcentral. Lineage: Eukaryota; Metazoa; Chordata; Mammalia; Rodentia; Muridae.